GACGAACGCUGGCGGCGUGCUUAACACAUGCAAGUCGAACGGAAAGGCCCUGCUUUUGUGGGGUGCUCGAGUGGCGAACGGGUGAGUAACACGUGAGUAACCUGCCCUUGACUUUGUGAUAACUUCAGGAAACUGGGGCUCAUACCGGAUAGGAGCUCCUGCUGCAUGGUGGGGGUUGGAAAGUUUCGGCGGUUGGGGAUGGACUCGCGGCUUAUCAGCUUGUUGGUGGGGUAGUGGCUUACCAAGGCUUCGACGGGUAGCCGGCCUGAGAGGGUGACCGGCCACAUUGGGACUGAGAUACGGCCCAGACUCCUACGGGAGGCAGCAGUGGGGAAUAUUGCACAAUGGGCGGAAGCCUGAUGCAGCAACGCCGCGUGCGGGAUGCCGGCCUUCGGGUUGUAAACCGCUUUCGCCUGUGACGAAGCGUGAGUGACGGUAAUGGGUAAAGAAGCACCGGCUAACUACGUG
RNAcentral lists this ribosomal RNA (468 nucleotides) under uncultured bacterium. Its description in RNAcentral is "partial 16S ribosomal RNA". It matches the Rfam family "Bacterial small subunit ribosomal RNA", at positions 28 to 507 of the family's 1533-position model. The record is from RNAcentral.